UUUCUCUGGUUUCUCUUCAGAUCGUGUAAAUCUUCUGCCUUUUACUAAAGAUUUCCGUGGAGAGGAACAGGCACGAGUGUCAAGAAAUUUUUUGAGGCUCCAUUUUUUUAUUUUUGAAC
Molecule: small nuclear RNA, 119 nt
Filed under: Pelecanus crispus (Dalmatian pelican)
Lineage: Eukaryota; Metazoa; Chordata; Aves; Pelecaniformes; Pelecanidae
Description: U5 spliceosomal RNA
Rfam family: U5 spliceosomal RNA
About the family: U5 RNA is a component of both types of known spliceosome. The precise function of this molecule is unknown, though it is known that the 5' loop is required for splice site selection and p220 binding, and that both the 3' stem-loop and the Sm site are important for Sm protein binding and cap methylation.
Source: Rfam by way of RNAcentral